GGGGCUGUAGCUCAGUGGCAGAGCACUUGCCUAGCUAGCAUGAGGCACUGGGUUUGAUUCUUAGCACCA
This 69-nucleotide transfer RNA is filed under the name Ictidomys tridecemlineatus (thirteen-lined ground squirrel). RNAcentral's name for it is "Spermophilus tridecemlineatus (thirteen-lined ground squirrel) tRNA". It matches the Rfam family "tRNA". From Rfam's summary of the family: Transfer RNA (tRNA) molecules are approximately 80 nucleotides in length. Their secondary structure includes four short double-helical elements and three loops (D, anti-codon, and T loops). The record is from Rfam by way of RNAcentral. Lineage: Eukaryota; Metazoa; Chordata; Mammalia; Rodentia; Sciuridae.